UAGAUUAUAUUCUUGGUGAUUAUCUACAUUGUUCGCAACUUUACAUAAUGUAGGUGUUGGUGAUAUAGCUAUAUGAGGGGAUUUUUGAUUAAUAACACGUUGUCUUUUCUUAGUGCUCUCAAGUCUAAAGACCAUGGUCUAGGGGUUAGUUUCUCUUUCUUGGAGAUGAGUUUCACUACUAAAGUAUCCAGUGUUAUGUAGUUGCUACCAUUCAAGUACAAUAUAUGCAAAUUGACAACAUACAUACUACUAUAAUAGAUAGAGCCAUAAUAUAGAUUAUAUUCUUGGUGAUUAUCUACAUUGUUCGCAACUUUACAUAAUGUAGGUGUUGGUGAUAUAGCUAUAUGAACGGAUUUUUGAUUAAUAACACGUGGUCUUUUCUUAGUGCUCUCAAGUCUAAAGACCCUGGUCUAGGGGUUAGUCUCUUUUUCUCUAUUAAUUUUUCUAUGAGAUCAAUUUUUUCUUUUUGAUCGAAUAUAAAUUUUAGUAAUCAAUACAAAUCCAAGUUACAAUCAUGAUUAGAAGGUGUUUAUAAAUCCCGUCAGGUGAUAAUACUCGAACACAAGAAAUACAAUUCAGACCCUACUACACAGACCCACAGUGGUACAAAUUGUGUUGUUGAUAGUACCAGUACCAGUCAAUCGCUACUACCUGUACAGAGGUAUUUGUUGCCCUGUUUUGGUGUUGCUCUGUUCCUCCGUUACUGGUAUGCGUAAAUUGUUGUCCAUACCGUUCGAAGCUCAUAGAAGUUAUGACCUUCUCUGUCCUUCAGUCCUUCUCUGAAUUAUGAAUUUUUAAUUUACUAAUAUUAGGAGUUAACUAAAUAAUUUUUCUUAUAAAUUUUUUUUUUUUUUUUUAACUCCAACAUAGUUGUGUAAAGUGUAAACGUCACUGUGAACUCUUCCCCUCUUUAAAUAUUGUUGCAAUUCUCAUGAUCCAGAGUGUCCAAAGUACUAUAUAUGGAUUGCAACCCAAAUUCCUCACUACAACAAAUUUGGGUAUUUGUGACGCAAUAUUUUUGUCACUACAUAUGCCACUGAUCUGCUUAAUCUAUUUGCCUAAAGAGGAGGCUCAUAAAGUGCCCUCCUAAGCUAAAUGUUAUGUAUGAUAUAUUCUAAUGUUACCAUUUUGCAUUGCAGGGGUUUAGAUUGUGUUCUAUCAACAUGUUCAAGUGACUCGACGUUUUACCUGCUACAACAAUUUGCAAGUUGUCAUGAUUAUAUUCAUAUUUGUAGAACAGGUACAAGGUUUAAUUGAGUAGCUAAAAUCAAUAUCAUAUGGAAGGGAAAAAAAAAUUAUUCAAGUCCAAAAUCUUCUCAUUGUUUAUUGUCAAAAAAUAAAAACUCAUUGUUUAUUGACAAAAAAAAUAAAAUAAAUAAAUAAACCUCUUUAUUAAAUAAGUAUUUAUCAUUAAUAUAGAAUUUUUGUGAUUGGUUUUGAAUAAUGAGUUGGGGAAAAUAGUGUAAAAAGAUUGGAGGUGUUUACUUAUAUAGUAUAUGUUCGUUUUAUAGAUAUACUAACAGGUAAAACAAGACAUUAUGCACACAUUUACUUUUUCAACUAACACCAAUCAUAUUCUAAAGAUAGAUGGCAUCCAAGAUCCAUGGUAUUGUUCUAGAUUUGAGUCCACAAGUGGUUAAGCAAUCCUUUUGGAAAUUAUCACCUUCUAGAGUACAUAAACAUUAUAGUGAUAGUGCAGUUGGCUUGAAAAUGUACGGUUUGGUGGUGUUUUGUGAGAUAAUGUACUAUCAAGUUGGUGUUCACUAGAGGCACCUCUGAACAAUCAUCAUGCUAGAACUGCCUGCAGGAUGGUACCAUUAAACUGACGAAGGCCCCCUCGGCCCUCUCCGCCAUCAUUUCUCUUAGCCGCAAAAGGACAUAGGGAAGCAAACACCUGAAAGUGCCUCUCUCUCUCAAGAUUAAAAGAAAAAAAACAGGUGCUCAACGACCAAGAAUGAUUGAUGCUGACAAGAUCAUAAUAUUUAUUGAUUCCAUGGCAGCAAGGAUAAUUAAAGAAGCUACUCUAUGAUCAUGACUUUGUGUUAGCUUUUGUGAAGCUUAGCAAGGAGUAUUCAUUCAUUCAUUAUUCUUCAUUUUAUACGAUUACAGAUAAACCAACCAAGUGGACUAUUUAGUUGACUUCGGAUGUGACAAUGUACAUGUUGUAAACGCUUAUAUUUAGUCUAUUUGAUUGUAAGUUAACUGAGCCCCUUUAUGGAGAUAUCACUAAUCGUCCUCAUAUUAGAGUUAAAUUUUAAUGAAUUGGAUGUGGGGAGGUAUGCCAAACCCCAC
Molecule: long non-coding RNA, 2292 nt
Filed under: Aquilegia coerulea
Lineage: Eukaryota; Viridiplantae; Streptophyta; Magnoliopsida; Ranunculales; Ranunculaceae
Description: long non-coding RNA (ACOE_LNC000095)
Source: RNAcentral